GCAUAUCAAUAAGCGGAGGAAAAGAAACCAACAGGGAUUGCCUUAGUAGCGGCGAGUGAAGCGGCAAAAGCUCAAAUUUGAAAUCUGGCACCUUCGGUGUCCGAGUUGUAAUUUGAAGAUUGUAACCUUGGGGUUGGCUCUUGUCUAUGUUUCUUGGAACAGGACGUCACAGAGGGUGAGAAUCCCGUGCGAUGAGAUGCCCAAUCCUAUGUAAGGUGCUUUCGAAGAGUCGAGUUGUUUGGGAAUGCAGCUCUAAGUGGGUGGUAAAUUCCAUCUAAAGCUAAAUAUUGGCGAGAGACCGAUAGCGAACAAGUACAGUGAUGGAAAGAUGAAAAGAACUUUGAAAAGAGAGUGAAAAAGUACGUGAAAUUGUUGAAAGGGAAGGGUUUGAGAUCAGACUCGAUAUUUUGUGAGCCUUGCCUUCGUGGCGGGGUGACCCGCAGCUUAUCGGGCCAGCAUCGGUUUGGGCGGUAGGAUAAUGGCGUAGGAAUGUGACUUUGCUUCGGUGAAGUGUUAUAGCCUGCGUUGAUGCUGCCUGCCUAGACCGAGGACUGCGAUUUUAUCAAGGAUGCUGGCAU
Molecule: ribosomal RNA, 578 nt
Filed under: Meyerozyma caribbica
Lineage: Eukaryota; Fungi; Ascomycota; Pichiomycetes; Serinales; Debaryomycetaceae
Description: eukaryotic LSU rRNA
Rfam family: Eukaryotic large subunit ribosomal RNA
Source: RNAcentral